RNAcentral lists this ribosomal RNA (256 nucleotides) under uncultured bacterium. RNAcentral's name for it is "partial 16S ribosomal RNA". It matches the Rfam family "Bacterial small subunit ribosomal RNA", at positions 524 to 776 of the family's 1533-position model. The record is from RNAcentral.
UACGGAGGGUGCGAGCGUUGUCCGGAAUCAUUGGGCGUAAAGGGCGCGUAGGUGGCCCCUCAAGCGUGCGGUGAAAGUCGGGGGCUCAACCCCCGAUCGGCCGUGCGAACUGGGGGGCUGGAGCACUGUAGAGGCAGGCGGAAUUCCGGGUGUAGCGGUGGAAUGCGUAGAGAUCCGGAAGAACACCGGUGGCGAAGGCGGCCUGCUGGGCAGUUUUGCUGACACUGAGGCGCGACAGCGUGGGGGAGCAAACAGG